GACAGAGUUCAGGUGUGGACUAGACUAUAUGACUCAUUGAGAGCAGAAACAGCACUGAAAUGAAAGUUUGUGUGAGUGUGUUUAGGAAUGCUUCUCUUGUAGCUGGAUUAAGACGGACUGAAGAAGUUCUAGACAAGUCUCAGAAAAGGCAGAAGACCAGCUGUUUGUGUGUGUCUGUGUGGAGAGUAAAAACAAUAUAAUGGACCUUCAUCAGUCCAGCAGUGAAGGAGGAAACCCUGACCCAAACGUAAAGUCUGCAGAACCCAGCUGUGUGUCUAUGAAGAGUGACCGGUCUAUAGGGGAACGUCCAGGAUUCAGCAGUGGAGGAGGAGAACCCAGCUGUGUGUCUAUGAAGAGUGACCGGUCUAUAGGGGAACGUCCUGGAUUCAGCAGUGGAGGAGGAGAACCCAGCUCUGUGUCUAUGAAGAGUGACCCGUCUAUAGGGGAACCUCCUGGAUUCAGCAGUGGAGAAGGAGAACCCAGCUGUGUGCCCAAGAAGAGUGAACAGCCUAUGGAGGAUCCUCCUAGAUUCAGCAGUGGAGAAGCAUCUGACCCAGAGCAGUUCUCCACAAAAGCAGCACUACACACAGACACUCAGGUAGGAGGAACUGGACCCCUGCAGCAGGAUAUCCACCAAGCAGAGGACGAUGUCCUGUACAAAGUGAUGAAGCAAUACAAAACCAGCAUGAAGAACAAGUAUGAGACCUUAUAUGAGGGAUUCAAAACAGAAGAGAAUAAAACUCUCCUGAACAGUUUUAAACACAGCUCUACAUCAUAGAGGGAGAGAGUGAAGCGGUGAAUAAAGAACAUGAAGUUUUACUGAUAACA
RNAcentral lists this long non-coding RNA (828 nucleotides) under Astyanax mexicanus (Mexican tetra). Its description in RNAcentral is "lncRNA (ENSAMXG00005000688.1)". The record is from RNAcentral. Lineage: Eukaryota; Metazoa; Chordata; Actinopteri; Characiformes; Acestrorhamphidae.